This 253-nucleotide ribosomal RNA is filed under the name uncultured bacterium. RNAcentral describes it as "partial 16S ribosomal RNA". It matches the Rfam family "Bacterial small subunit ribosomal RNA", at positions 524 to 776 of the family's 1533-position model. The record is from RNAcentral.
UACGUAGGGCGCAAGCGUUAUCCGGAGUUAUUGGGCGUAAAGAGCUCGUAGGCGGUUUGUCGCGUCUGCCGUGAAAGUCCGGGGCUCAACUCCGGAUCUGCGGUGGGUACGGGCAGACUAGAGUGAUGUAGGGGAGACUGGAAUUCCUGGUGUAGCGGUGAAAUGCGCAGAUAUCAGGAGGAACACCGAUGGCGAAGGCAGGUCACUGGGCCGCAACUGACGCUGAGGAGCGAAAGCAUGGGGAGCGAACAGG